This 459-nucleotide ribosomal RNA is filed under the name uncultured bacterium. Its description in RNAcentral is "partial 16S ribosomal RNA". It matches the Rfam family "Bacterial small subunit ribosomal RNA", at positions 338 to 795 of the family's 1533-position model. The record is from RNAcentral.
CCUACGGGUGGCAGCAGUGAGGAAUAUUGGUCAAUGGGCGCGAGCCUGAACCAGCCAAGUCGCGUGAGGGAAGACGGUCCUAUGGAUUGUAAACCUCUUUUGUCGGGGAGCAAAAGACGCCACGUGUGGCGUUCCGAGAGUACCCGAAGAAAAAGCAUCGGCUAACUCCGUGCCCGCAGCCGCGGUAAUACGGAGGAUGCGCGCGUUAUCGGGAUUUAUUGGGUUUAAAGGGUGCGCAGGCGGAAGAUGAAGUCAGCGGUAAAAUAGAGGGGCUCAACCUCUUCGAGCCGUUGAAACUGGUGGGCUUGAGUGAGCGAGGAGUAUGCGGAAUGCGUGGUGUAGCGGUGAAAUGCAUAGAUAUCACGCAGAACUCCGAUUGCGAAGGCAGCAUACCGGCGCUCAACUGACGCUGAGGCACGAAAGUGUGGGUAUCGAACAGGAUUAGAUACCCGAGUAGUC